AGACGAGCGCCUGAAAGAGACUCCCUUCCUUACGACACACAUCUGAGGCUCGAUUCAGAACAUAAUAAAGUGUCAAAACAUAUUUUGAAGCUGGUAUAUAAAAGCAACCCAAACAACAGUAACAAGUUCUGUCGGUAUUUAGCUGUGAGUUACAGCAACAGACUAUGCAGACUAACACCGUUACAAACAGGAGUCCUAAUAUUCUAGCGCAUUUCCUUGAAAUAACAGGAUAACUCAAAGACGUCCUUCGGAAAGAAAAACCUCUAUAUCUCCAGAAAGCCUGGAUUGGAACUUUCACUUCCCAAAGUUAGAACUGGCUGUCUGAAAUUUGACCGCAUUUCAGCAAGAGGUUCAACGCAAAAUCAAAAGGUCAUGACACUAAACUGUGACUACAUUGACAAUAUUACUUCUAUUCCAACAGAGAAGAAGAUAAAAAUAAAUUACAAGUGGGGAAAACAAUGAAAAAGAAAAACAGUAAAAAGAAAAAAGAAUCAGGUAACAGAAGAAGUGGUAUUGUUUUGAACAGAGUUAGAAAUAGCAAUUCUUCAAGUGAGA
This is a long non-coding RNA of Equus quagga, 555 nucleotides long. RefSeq lists it as uncharacterized. The record is from RefSeq and is a predicted model, not a curated record. Lineage: Eukaryota; Metazoa; Chordata; Mammalia; Perissodactyla; Equidae. The transcript has 3 exons.